Molecule: ribosomal RNA, 326 nt
Filed under: uncultured bacterium
Lineage: Bacteria
Description: bacterial SSU rRNA
Rfam family: Bacterial small subunit ribosomal RNA
Source: RNAcentral
GAUGAACGCUGGCGGCGUGCCUAACACAUGCAAGUCGAGCGAAGCGAUUUAACGGAAGUUUUCGGAUGGAAGUUAAAUUGACUGAGCGGCGGACGGGUGAGUAACGCGUGGGUAACCUGCCUCAUACAGGGGGAUAACAGUUAGAAAUGACUGCUAAUACCGCAUAAGCCCACGGCCCGGCAUCGGGUUGAGGGAAAAGGAUUUAUUCGCUUCAGGAUGGACUCGCGUCCAAUUAGCUAGUUGGUGAGGUAACGGCCCACCAAGGCGACGAUUGGUAGCCGGACUGAGAGGUUGAACGGCCACAUUGGGACUGAGACACGGCCCAG